CACCCAAUAGCACAUGGUGUGCACCUGUCUUCCUUCAGAGCAAGGACAUGAUGUAGGCAGGAGGCCCCCGUUCGAUUCGGGGUUGGGUGA
This is a non-coding RNA of Mycena metata, 90 nucleotides long. Lineage: Eukaryota; Fungi; Basidiomycota; Agaricomycetes; Agaricales; Mycenaceae. The record is from the annotation of a GenBank genome assembly.